GUGUCAGCCGCCGCGGUAAGACGUAGGAUGCAAGCGUUGUCCGGAAUUAUUGGGCGUAAAGAGUUCGUAGGCGGUUACCUAAGUCUGGUGUUAAAUACUGGAGCUCAACUCCGGCAUGGCAUUGGAAACUGGGUGGCUAGAGUGCGGUAGAGGUCACAGGAAUUCCAGGUGUAGCGGUGAAAUGCGUAGAUAUCUGGAGGAACACCAGUGGCGAAAGCGUGUGACUGGGCCGCAACUGACGCUGAGGAACGAAAGCCAGGGUAGCGAAAGGGAUUAGAAACCCCUGUAGUCC
This 292-nucleotide ribosomal RNA is filed under the name uncultured bacterium. Its description in RNAcentral is "partial 16S ribosomal RNA". It matches the Rfam family "Bacterial small subunit ribosomal RNA", at positions 505 to 796 of the family's 1533-position model. The record is from RNAcentral.